CGCGGGGCGGGGCGGGCGGGCGGCGCUGUCAGCGCGGCGGGCGGCGAGCGGAAUGCAGCGGCCCGAGGCCUGGCCACGUCCGCACCCGGGGGAGGGGGCCGCGGCCGCCGGGAUCGGGGCCCCGGCACCGCCCGCCCGGGCCGGGGAGCCCGCGGAGCCGCGGUUGCAGGAACCUUCCCUCUACACCGUCAAGGCUGUUUUCAUCCUAGAUAAUGACGGACACCGCCUGCUGGCCAAGUAUUAUGAUGACACAUUCCCCUCCAUGAAGGAGCAGAUGGCCUUCGAGAAAAAUGUCUUCAAUAAGACCAACCGGACUGACAGUGAGAUUGCGUUUUUCGGGGGCAUGACCAUCGUCUACAAGAGCAGCAUCGACCUCUUCCUGUACGUGGUGGGCUCAUCCCAGGAGAACGAGUUGAUGCUCAUGUCUGUUCUCACGUGCCUGUAUGAGUCCCUGAACCACGUGUUAAGGAAGAACAUGGAGAAGCGCUGGCUGUUGGAGAACAUGGAUGGAGCCUUCUUGGUGCUGGAUGAGAUUGUGGAUGGCGGCCUAUUCCCGGUGACCUCAUCCCCCCACCCACUCAUGAGGACAGAGGUUAGCGUGAUUCUGGAGAGCGACCCCCAGCAAGUGAUCCAGAAAGUGAACUUUAGGGCAGAUGACGGCGGCCUGACGGAGCAGAGCGUGGCCCAGGUCUCUCUGCACAGACUAAUCCUCACUCUGUGGAGCCUCCUGCCCCGGCACUAACUCCCUCCCGCUGUGGUGGCCGGGCCUGGACGGGUGUGUCACAUCCGUGUGGAGCCCUAGGUCCUCCAGUCCGCCAAGGAACAGAUUAAAUGGUCGUUACUGAAAUGAAGGCCGUGCAUGCGUGCGAGGCUCCCUGCCCCCAGAUAAUCCGCCCAAUCCUGGCAAAAGCUCAGAGCCCUCUCUGUAUGCCCAGGCCCUCCCAGAACCAUCUCCUGAGGUCUCAGGACAGAGACUCUGAAAUAAAAUUUUUUUUAAAAUAUGGCUUUAGCCCCGAGACACCGCUUCUCAUGGUCCUGGCCUGCUCCUGGGGCCUCGAGAACCAGCCGAGUUGAACUCAGACCUCAGGCAGCCCCGAACCCAGAGCCCUAAUAAACCUGCUUUCCUUUCCUGCCA
This is an RNA transcript of Pipistrellus kuhlii (Kuhl's pipistrelle), 1135 nucleotides long. It is a transcript of the gene named COPI coat complex subunit zeta 2, with no coding region annotated. The record is from RefSeq and is a predicted model, not a curated record. Lineage: Eukaryota; Metazoa; Chordata; Mammalia; Chiroptera; Vespertilionidae. The transcript is spliced from 11 exons.